UCAUCUCCGGGGGUAGAGCACUGUUUCGGCAAGGGGGUCAUCCCGACUUACCAACCCGAUGCAAACUGCGAAUACCGGAGAAUGUUAUCACGGGAGACACACGGCGGGUGCUAACGUCCGUCGUGAAGAGGGAAACAACCCAGACCGCCAGCUAAGGUCCCAAAGUCAUGGUUAAGUGGGAAACGAUGUGGGAAGGCCCAGACAGCCAGGAUGUUGGCUUAGAAGCAGCCAUCAUUUAAAGAAAGCGUAAUAGCUCACUGGUCGAGUCGGCCUGCGCGGAAGAUGUAACGGGGCUAAACCAUGCACCGAAGCUGCGGCAGC
This 321-nucleotide ribosomal RNA is filed under the name Escherichia coli. RNAcentral's name for it is "partial 23S ribosomal RNA". It matches the Rfam family "Bacterial large subunit ribosomal RNA", at positions 890 to 1209 of the family's 2925-position model. Lineage: Bacteria; Pseudomonadati; Pseudomonadota; Gammaproteobacteria; Enterobacterales; Enterobacteriaceae. The record is from RNAcentral.